AAUUACGUGCCAGCAGCCGCGGUAACACGUAGGAUCCAAGCGUUAUCCGGAUUUACUGGGCGUAAAGCGCGUGUAGGUGGUUUGCUAAGUUGGGUGUUAAAUCUCUUGGCUCAACUAAGAGAUGUCGCUCAAAACUAGCAGACUGGAGGACGGUAGAGGAAGGUAGAAUUCCGGGUGUAGUGGUGAAAUGCGUAGAUAUCCGGAGGAAUACCAGUGGCGAAGGCGGCCUUCUGGACCGUUCCUGACACUCAGACGCGAAAGCUAGGGGAGCAAACGGGAUUAGAAACCCCGGUAGUCCUAGCUGUAAACGAUGUGAACUUGGUGUUGGCGGGGUAAAACCUGUCGGUGCCGAAGCAAACGCGAUAAGUUCACCGCCUGGGGACUACGGCCGCAAGGUUAAAACUCAAAGGAAUUGACGGGUGCCCGCACAAGCAGCGGAGCGUGUGGUUUAAUUCGAUGCUACACGAAGAACCUUACCUGGGUUUGACAUAUACGUGGUAGAGAACGGAAACGGGAUCGACCCUUCGGGGAGCGUAUACAGGUGCUGCAUGGCUGUCGUCAGCUCGUGUCGUGAGAUGUCCGGUUAAGUCCGGUAACGAGCGCAACCCCUGCUGUAUGUUACAUGUGUCAUACGGGACAGCCGGCAUAAGCCGGAGGAAGGUGGGGAUGACGUCAAGUCAGCAUGGCCUUUAUAUCCAGGGCUACACACACGCUACAAUGGCUAAUACAAUGGGUUUGCAAGACCGCGAGGUGGAGCCAAUCCUCAAAAUUAGUCUCAGUUCGGAUUGCAGGCUGCAACUCGCCUGCAUGAAGUCGGAGUUGCUAGUAACCGCGCGUCAGCAUUAGUGCGGUGAAUACGUUCCCGGGCGUUGUACACACCGCCCGUCACGUCAUGGAAGCUGGCAACACCUGAAGUCGGUAUCCCAACCGCAAGGAGGGAGCCGCCCAAGGUGGGGCUGGUAACUGGGACGAAGUCGUAACAAGGUAGGUGUACCGGAAGGUGCGCCUGGAUCACCUCCUUCU
RNAcentral lists this ribosomal RNA (1023 nucleotides) under uncultured bacterium. RNAcentral's name for it is "bacterial SSU rRNA". It matches the Rfam family "Bacterial small subunit ribosomal RNA", at positions 499 to 1533 of the family's 1533-position model. The record is from RNAcentral.